RNAcentral lists this transfer RNA (84 nucleotides) under Cyanidioschyzon merolae. RNAcentral's name for it is "trnL". It matches the Rfam family "tRNA". From Rfam's summary of the family: Transfer RNA (tRNA) molecules are approximately 80 nucleotides in length. Their secondary structure includes four short double-helical elements and three loops (D, anti-codon, and T loops). Further hydrogen bonds mediate the characteristic L-shaped molecular structure. tRNAs have two regions of fundamental functional importance: the anti-codon, which is responsible for specific mRNA codon recognition, and the 3' end, to which the tRNAs corresponding amino acid is attached (by aminoacyl-tRNA synthetases). tRNAs cope with the degeneracy of the genetic code in two manners: having more than one tRNA (with a specific anti-codon) for a particular amino acid; and 'wobble' base-pairing, i.e. permitting non-standard base-pairing at the 3rd anti-codon position. The record is from RNAcentral. Lineage: Eukaryota; Rhodophyta; Bangiophyceae; Cyanidiales; Cyanidiaceae.
ACGGAUAUGAUGAAACUGGAAAACAUAUCAGAUUUAGGAUCUGAUGGGUAUCAACCCUUGUGGGUUCAACUCCCACUGUCCGUA